Molecule: transfer RNA, 72 nt
Filed under: Fidelibacterota bacterium
Lineage: Bacteria; Pseudomonadati; Fidelibacterota
Description: tRNA-Ile
Rfam family: tRNA
About the family: Transfer RNA (tRNA) molecules are approximately 80 nucleotides in length.
Source: RNAcentral
GGGCCCUUAGCUCAAUGGUAGAGCAACGGACUCAUAAUCCGCAGGUUGGGGGUUCGAGCCCCUCAGGGCCCA